AAUAGAAUUCGAGCGGAACAGUUGGGUUCUUGCGCAGUCGUCGCGUGACGUCAUAUGACGUCAGGUGUAUUCGCAUGCGCACCUGUAUUAUGAUGGUUCGUAGUUCGUAGAUAAAUCGUUCACCUACGCUACUUUUACUGACGUUCAGCAAAGGAAAUCACUCAGUAUUAGCAAUUAAACGUGAUUGACUCUUAUUUUUAGUACCAACAAAUUAAUGUUAAGUGUUGACAAGAACUGAGCGCUUUCUCUGCCAAACGCGGACACUUUGUACGCAGGUAUAAAAUGCGAUAAUGUACGAUAUAAUUCCGAACACGCCGUAUUGAUUGCGCGACUGGCGGGCAACUUCAAGUUUAUAAAUAAUUUUGUUUGUAAAUAAAAUGAGAGAUGAAGUGUAAAAAAUGUGCUGACAUAAAAUUCUAUAUCAGUACGAUUAUCCAGACGAUUUCGACGAGCAGGAAUUUAAUUUAAAGACUUGGCAGCAACUGCUGUGACUCUGUUUUAUUUGAGAUAUCGACACUCCAGGUACUGGUUCGUUUAUUGUGCUACUAAUGCUCUCAGUGUGAUACAAACGAUGAUAAAAUGUCCAA
Cataglyphis hispanica is the source of this 587-nucleotide long non-coding RNA. RefSeq lists it as uncharacterized. The record is from RefSeq and is a predicted model, not a curated record. NCBI's taxonomy places the organism in Eukaryota, Metazoa, Arthropoda, Insecta, Hymenoptera, Formicidae. The transcript has 3 exons.